CCUUACUGCUAUCGGGGUGGGACUAAGACAUGCGAGUCGAGCGUCUCUAGCUAUGUUGAGACGCGGCAGACGGCUCAGUAACACGUGGCUAACCUACCUUCAGGACGAGGAUAAACCCGGGAAACUGGGGCUAAUACUCGAUAGGUGAGGAUGUCUGGAAUGACUUCUCAUCCAAAGGGCAUUGGAAACAUGCUUUCAAUGUCGCCUGGGGAUGGGGCCGCGUCCGAUCAGGUUGUUGGUGAGGUAACGGCUCACCAAGCCUAUAACCGGUACGGGCCGUGAGAGCGGUAGCCCGGAGAUGGGUACUGAGACAAGGACCCAGGCCCCACGGGGCGCAGCAGUCGCGAAAACUCCGCAAUGCACGAAAGUGUGACGGGGCUACCCCGAGUGCCAUCCGCUGAGGGUGGCUUUUCUUUGGUAUAACUAGCCAUGGGAAUAAGGAGAGGGCAAGACUGGUGUCAGCCGCCGCGGUAAUACCAGCUCUCCGAGUGGUAGGGAUGAUUAUUGGGCUUAAAGCGUCCGUAGCCGGCUUAGCAAGUCUCCUGUUAAAUUCAGCGACCUAAUCGUUGACCCGCGGGAGAUACUACUAGGCUAGGAGGCGGGAGAGGUCGACGGUACUCCUGGGGUAGGGGUGAAAUCCUAUAAUCCCGGGAGGACCACCAGUGGCGAAGGCUGUCGACUAGAACGCGCUCGACGGUGAGGGACGAAAGCUGGGGGAGCGAACCGGAUUAGAUACCCGGGUAGUCCCAGCCGUAAACGAUGCGAGCUAGGUGUUGGAAUGGCUACGUGCCAUUUCAGUGCCGCAGGGAAGCCAUUAAGCUCGCCGCCUGGGGAGUACGGCCGCAAGGCUGAAACUUAA
Molecule: ribosomal RNA, 859 nt
Filed under: uncultured archaeon
Lineage: Archaea
Description: bacterial SSU rRNA
Rfam family: Archaeal small subunit ribosomal RNA
Source: RNAcentral